CCUACGGGUGGCAGCAGUGAGGAAUAUUGGUCAAUGGUCGGGAGACUGAACCAGCCAAGCCGCGUGAGGGAUGAAGGUACAGAGUAUCGUAAACCUCUUUUGUCAGGGAACAAAGGCGGGGACGUGUCCCCGGAUGAGUGUACCUGAAGAAAAAGCAUCGGCUAACUCCGUGCCAGCAGCCGCGGUAAUACGGAGGAUGCGAGCGUUAUCCGGAUUGAUUGGGUUAAAGGGAUGCGCAGGCGGUCUGUUAAGUCAGCGGUCAAAGCCCGGGGCUCAACCCCGGCCCGCCGUUGAAACUGGCAGUCUUGAGUUGGAGAGAAGUAUGCGGAAUGCGCGGUGUAGCGGUGAAAUGCAUAGAUAUCGCGCAGAACUCCGAUUGCGAAGGCAGCAUGCCGGCUCCACACUGACGCUGAGGCACGAAAGCGUGGGUAUCGAACAGGAUUAGAUACCCCUGUAGUC
RNAcentral lists this ribosomal RNA (459 nucleotides) under uncultured bacterium. RNAcentral's name for it is "partial 16S ribosomal RNA". It matches the Rfam family "Bacterial small subunit ribosomal RNA", at positions 338 to 795 of the family's 1533-position model. The record is from RNAcentral.